Molecule: RNA transcript, 3473 nt
Organism: Tupaia belangeri chinensis (Chinese tree shrew)
Lineage: Eukaryota; Metazoa; Chordata; Mammalia; Scandentia; Tupaiidae
Gene: SNORC
Gene name: secondary ossification center associated regulator of chondrocyte maturation
Exons: 5
Source: RefSeq, a predicted model, not a curated record
CACCAGAACCAGCAGCAGCAGCAACAGCAGCAGCAGCAGCAGGACUCGGUGUGGGGAAUGAAUCACAGUACACUCCAUUCAGUAUUUCAGACCAAUCAGAGCAACAACCAACAAUCCAAUUUUGAGGCCGUGCAAAGUGGCAAGAAGAAGAAAAAGCAGAAGAUGGUCCGAGCAGAUCCUAGUUUACUAGGCUUUUCAGUCAACGCGUCAUCGGAGCGACUCAACAUGGGCGAAAUCGAGACUGUGGAUGACUACUGAGUACCUGCCAGGGCCUGGCUCCCCUCUCCUACCUGCCGACCGUGGACCCUCCGCUCUUGGACGCGACACCCACACCGUUUACUCCUCCUCACUCUGCAGCGAGCCUCAGAGCCCGUCAUCUCAGGCUUUCCCUUCUAGCCCUUUGUGUCCAGGACUCUCUAAACUGGUUUUGUUGGUGAGCAUCUCAGACUGUAGACGAGGGACGGACCUGUAUCUCGGGGUGGCAGUUGGGAUCGCUCCCCAACAAGGCUGAUGUCCGGCAGCACGCGUGCCCUGUCCGUGAUUUCAUCUGCUGUCCCCCAGAGACGGUGUCGGGUCUGCCAAGAGCAGCUUUCUCCUGUCGCUUUUCCCUUCUGUUUCGUUUGUCCUUUCCCCCACGCCCCGCCCCCCCCUAGGCAAGAGGUCUGCCUGGUGCAAUCAUGACGAGAGCUGUAGUUCCCAGGGGCGGCAGCACCUCGCCCGGGCUGUGACUGCGUUCCAAAGUCACCCACUGCCGACCUUGGGAGCGGGUCGGAGGCCCGGGCUGGGGUUAGAUCCAGCGGUUUGACUGUGCACACCCCUUGCCUGUUCCUCCUGAGCAUCCUUUCAGAGAAAGGAUCCCGUUUGUCUUCAUUAGAUAGUGACUUCCGAGCAAGCUGACUUCUCCCCGAUGUACUCCUACCUGAUUGGACAGAGGAAACCCUAUGGCCUGGGAGAGGGACUUAUCAUUUUUCUUUCUUAUAAAAACUGAUUUUUCCCAUAAAUAUUUUUACUUCAGAGGACUAGGACCAGUUUGUUUCAGGCCCUUCUGCUUAAAAUUUGUCUCGUUUAAGAGGCAACUAGGAUCUUUACCAUGUAUGAAUUUGUAUAAUUUCAUUUUGGAUAGGGAUAAACUUUUGCUUCCGAUAAAAGCCUGGAAUUUCAUCUGGUUCCUCAGAGCAUUGCGUGUGUGUCUUGCUGUGGCCCUGAAAAGGUUUUGUUAAAAGAUUCUGGAUUGGCCUUUUCCGAAGAGAACAUAACCCAACCAUCUUUAAGACCUGCCUCCGUGGAGACCACUAUACAGGAGGCGGCAGGGGAUGGGAGGGGAUGGGCAGGGUUGGAGCGAGCUGCCUGGCUCCUCCUGUCCUGGCUGUGGCCUCCUAGCGCCCUCCACUUCAAGUAGAAAUGUCCUCGAGCCCUAUCUAUACACAGACACUCUGCCUGCCUCACCAGAGCCCACAGAGCAGCGCCCCGAACUGCCAGUCACGCUGGUCAGAGCCGGUGGGCCCUGUGCCUGCCCGAGAGGUGCCGUGGUCUGGGGGCUCCUGGGGAAGCUCCUUUUCUGUCGUUGCCUGGAGAGGGCUGGAGUUGCUCUGAGAGCAGUUCGGUUUUGGAGGGUUAUGUUUGGUUUUUAUUCUGAUUAUUUUGGAUCACUAUUCUCCCUAUUCCUUCUUACCUCCCUCCCUCCUAAAUGUGUACAAUAAUAUACAGAGACUGCUACAUACUUGUACAUAGUUUUUGGAUCAAAUAGCAUGAGGAGAUGGGGAACCAUUAAAAAUUGGGGCUCCUACUCUUCUUUGCUUUGUAAAUUCAAAAGUGGGGGGUGGGGAAGAGGGAUAGUUAAAAUGUUUACAAAACUUUAAGCUCCCUCGGAACUUUUGCCAGUGUGGAGGAAAAUAAAAAAGAACUUAAAUAAAAUCUGGUUGUAUUCUGUCAGAACACACCUCUUGUCGAGGCUGGGUUUUGCACUGUGCUGUUCUUGUCACCAUGGACAAGCCCCAGGCCCCUGAGCACCCAAGACGUGCUGCAGCCGUGGGGUCAGCUGUGGCCUUCUCCGCCCGGCUGUGAACACUAGUUGGUUCUGUGUGUGGGUGUAGAGGUCGGGGUAAACAUUGGUGAGUCUGACCACGUGUCUUUCCGCUUUGACUGUCCCUCUGCUGACGUGGGGUCGGCUCCUAGCCUCACACCACAGAUGGGCCCCUCCGAGUGCCUCUCCAGAACCUCUCCACCCACAUCUACACUGGGCUCCACUGUGCGCUGGAACAUAAAAAUAAGUUUAAAGAAAUUGGAAGGGGAGGGGAGUGGGCAGAUGAGUGGGAACAAAGUCCUUGCAGUCAUGGGACAGCCCAGUUGCUUAACCAGGAGCCUUGCUUCUGUGUGAGGAAUUUCCCACUCGGUAGAGAGGAUCACUCUGGCCUGGCAAUGCUUGUUUCUCUCCUCUGUCCUGGCUCUUCCACUUAGAGCUGUGGGUUUCUUACCUCCUUCCAGAAGCUUUCUUCCAUGUUCCCUAACCCUUCCUGGAUUUUCAGGGUGAUUGUACUCCCUGGAAAAAGAUGAAGGGGGGAGGAAAAGUGAGAAAACACCUCCUGUGUGAACCUCAUCAUUCGUCAUUCACAGAAAGACCUGUCUUUAUCAGCGAAAAACCGAGUAAGGUGCUGAUUUCCAGCCUCACCUGAACUGCACUAUCCCACGCAGUUCUGAAGAGAGCGACACAGAGGCAGCCUGAAGGCAGAGGCCGGGCGGUUCGGUGGGCGCGGCGGCGCAGUGUGACGGGUGGUCAGACGUGAGUGUGGUCUUGCACUGUCGCGAUGGAACACUACUCCGUUAUGAUCAGCGAGCUCUGGACGUUCCUGGAUGAUGGAUCCAGUGAAACUGUCCAGUUGCCGACAGUGCACAUUUGAACUGAUUGUUUCCUUGGUAGAAGUUCAAAAACAAGACACCUUUAAGAUCCCAGCGUUGAAGGUGAAUCAUCACGUUGGGGCCGGGACGCUGUGGCACACGUGGUUGUAAACAGCCCACUUCUCAUCACCCGAUAUCGGUUGCUUCAAAAGGGCUUGUCUCCCUCAGGUUUAGUGAGCACGUCGCAGAUGCUCAUCCACGCUGUCAAAUGAACGUCUUUUUUGAGCUCAUGAGGAACCCAAAUAUCGGGCUUGCUGACGUGCCCCAGCUUCCUCGGGCGACCGUGAACACCUGCGUGGUGGAUGUUCACUGUUUCUGCAAUCUCUCGCAGUGUGUGUCGUGGGCUCGACUCGGUCAGCGCCUUUAUUUUGUCGUCAUCAGCCUCGGGGUGCCUCCCUGACCGAGGACCAGCGUCGAGAUCAAAUGAUCACUUCAUUUCUUUAGAAUGAAGCUAGAGCUGUCGGCUGUCAAAUGACGCAGCAGUGACAUAGAUGGGGAUGCUCUUAGAACUCCCAAACGUGGACUAGCGCCAUCUAUUACAAAAUGCACCAUGACGUUUCCGACAGCCCAGUACUCAG